GAUGAACGCUGGCGGCGUGCUUAACACAUGCAAGUCGAACGGAACUACUCCAAUGAGAGUCUUCGGAAAGGAUUUGGUUUAGUUUAGUGGCGGACGGGUGAGUAACGCGUGGGUAACCUGCCCUAUACAGGGGGAUAACAGUUGGAAACGACUGUUAAUACCUCAUAAGCGCACAGGAGCGCAUGCUCCGGUGUGAAAAACUCCGGUGGUAUAGGAUGGACCCGCGUCUGAUUAGCUGGUUGGCGGGGUAACGGCCCACCAAGGCGACGAUCAGUAGCCGGCCUGAGAGGGUGAACGGACACAUUGGGACUGAGACACGGCCCAAACUCCUACGGGGGGCAGCAGUGGGGAAUAUUGCACAAUGGGGGAAAACCUGAUGCAGCGACGCCGCGUGAGCGAAGAAGUAGAUCGGAAUGUAAAGCUCUAUCAGCAGGGAAGAAAAUGACGGUACCUGACUAAGAAGCCCCGGCUAACUACGUG
This 480-nucleotide ribosomal RNA is filed under the name uncultured bacterium. Its description in RNAcentral is "partial 16S ribosomal RNA". It matches the Rfam family "Bacterial small subunit ribosomal RNA", at positions 28 to 507 of the family's 1533-position model. The record is from RNAcentral.